AGAGGACGUGGCCCAAUGGCAGAGCAUCUGCUUGGCACGCAGAGGGUUCCGGGUUCAAUCCCCGACCUCUC
This 71-nucleotide transfer RNA is filed under the name Sphaerodactylus townsendi. RNAcentral describes it as "tRNA-Ala". It matches the Rfam family "tRNA". Rfam says of the family: Transfer RNA (tRNA) molecules are approximately 80 nucleotides in length. Their secondary structure includes four short double-helical elements and three loops (D, anti-codon, and T loops). The record is from RNAcentral. Lineage: Eukaryota; Metazoa; Chordata; Lepidosauria; Squamata; Sphaerodactylidae.